RNAcentral lists this long non-coding RNA (3991 nucleotides) under Gallus gallus (chicken). The record is from RNAcentral. Lineage: Eukaryota; Metazoa; Chordata; Aves; Galliformes; Phasianidae.
CGCGCAUGCGCGGUGCGGAGGGCGGGAGGCGUGCAGCUGGAACUCAUUGCCCGCGGGUUGGCGUCCGCGUUGCCACGGCGACCGCCCCGGCGGCGCCAGCUGGGCCGCGGCGUGAAUGGGUGAUGUCACGCGGCCGGCGCCGGCCGGUCUGGGCCGCGGGGCCGAGCCGCCGGCCAGGGGAGCCCGGGAAAGCGGGGUGUGGUGGGGGGGAUAGAGAGGUUUGAUGCCGCUCCUCCGCUUCCCGCUCGUUCUCGGGCGCUGCAGAAGGGCCUUUGCGGGGUGACGACCGCUCGCCGCCUCCCGGCGUAGUCGAGCUUCCCUCGCGCACGGCCCGCAGAGCCUUCGUAUGUAAUUCACCGCUGUGCCACUCACUGUACGUGGGCCCAGCAGAAGCUGUCAGGGGAGCCGGCAGGAGACGAGGGUCGGGUGUGAACGGGAACCAAAGGCACGGAGCUGCCGCAGCGCGCUGGGGGACGAAGUGCCCCCCCCGCCAAGGACGGCCGUCCCUUCGUCCUGCCCGUGCGCGGCGGCUCCGGGCCGCGUGUGGGAGCCCUCAGGAGUGGGGAACCGGCACCCGUCAAUAACGCCCCAAAGAGCCCCGAUGCCUUCAGGUUUGCCUCACUGUGGGUGCCCCAGCCCUGGAGGCGCUCAAGGCCAGCUUGGAUGUGGCGCUGGGCAGCCUGAGCUGGUGGGUGGCAGCCCUGCGUGUGGCAAGAGGGUUGCAGCUUAACAUCCCGUCCAACCUAAGGUGCAGAUCCAGUCUGUGGCAAGGUGAGAGCUCACCCUGCAAACAUCCACCUAAUUGUGCUUACGGCCAGCCUCGACCGCAACACAAAGCGCUGAUUUCCUCUAGUUUGCUGGAUGCUUUGGAAACCCGAGGACGGCGAGGAAGCCGAGUGUAUGUAAAUGUGAUUGCAGAGCGAGGUUUCUAAUUGUCUUUCUGAUUAUUUGGUCUUUUAAACUGCUCGAUGUGGUGUUUAAGCAACCCACAGCCGUUCAGAUCGCAGCGGGCUUUUAACACUGCGUGAUUCUGGUGGGUGCUUAAGGGAAACGGAUCCGGGAGCAGCCCCUGACACCGGCCGCCUCCAUCAGGUUUCAAGCCUCUGCAAGAUCCUGACUGCUAGGGAACAAAGGCUGGUAUGCGGUUCCCUCAAAGGUCAGUCAUUAACCUGCCCCAACAACAGUUUUAGGAAGAUCAAGGCAAUGAAGAAAAAAAAAUAUACAAGAAAAAGCACUUUCACUUCGGAAUGAAUUGUUGAAAGUGCCCUUAUACAUUCAGUUUUAUUCCCUUUCAGCUCCGCACUUUUUAGUUCCUGCACGUAUUUAUUUCUCAUCAGGAAUAAUGGCAAGAUUUGCUCUCCCAGAGAUUUGACCUUAAGUUUAUUCUACCCACAACACUAUAGACCAUUUCAUCAAUUAUGAAUGUACCCAUGUGUAUAGAGGAACUGGUAAGCCAGCUCAGUAAUACUACCUUGUUCUGGAGACUUACCCUUAUAAAUAAAUUAGGGGCAUAUCUUUAUGAAAAACCAAAGACAGAGAGAAAGAAAGACUGAAAGCAAGUAAGACAGAAAGCAAGAAAGGAAGGAAGGGAGAAAGAAAGGGAGAAAGAAAGAAAGGAAGGAAGGAAAAUCUAGAAAGCCACAUUUUUUUUUAAGAUAAAAGGGCAGUGGCUAGCAUCAAAAGUGUUUUCUCUGUGAUUUGUAUUUUGAAUGUCUGUGUGUCUAUAUAAAGAGAUAAAAUGCUGGAUAUGCAGUAGCCAGACUAUCAAUAAGACAGUUAUUUCCAUAAGUUAUUGAUGACCCUUUAGCUCACAAGUGACAGGCCAAAGUAGAGCCAUGAGCAACUUAUGAAAGGUCAUCAAUAACAACUGAAAAUAAAUGUUGUGUCCAGUGCAUGCCCACUGUGUGUCCUGUUUAUACAAUGCCAGUGUAAGUUUCUUGUGGUGUAGUUUUUAAUAAGCUGUAACAACCUUAGUCCCUGCCUGAAGCAGCGAGGUUUUCCGGCAGCAGAGGAAGGAGGAGGUGCACACAUUCCCAUGAGGCUGCUCACACUCCUCAUGAGUACUUUUUGUCAGAUGCAAAGGUAAAAGCUUGCAUCUCUCAGCACACCAGGAUGAAACAGGACCCUGGGGAGUGAAAGGAGAGACCACGCGCAUCACUAAAACAUUAAACACUGUGGACAAUCCUGGUGCUGCAGUGUAAGACUGCUCAGAAGUAAGAAGAUACAGAGGAGUCAGGGAGAGGAAAAAGGAGAAGCUGAGAUGCAGGGUUGUAAAUAAAUCAUACCCUGUGUUAAGAUUGCAAAUACAUAAUAUGCUAUUAAGGUAUUUCUAAUAGUAAUCUGUAUCAUGCUGCAAGGAGGAUUGAUGCACUGUGUGUGGUAAGAACAUUCUGGAGGCAAAAGAAAGAUCUUUCUGUCUACCUGGAGUCUUACUCCCCAUGGAAAGGCUGCAAUGGACACCGGAUGCGGUCCAGUGGGGAACAAACACUUAGUUUUACCUGCUUGUUGGCAGAUUUUGCUUUCAGUAACCAUCAUCCUGAAACUCACUGAUGUUUAAUUAAAGUUCUAUGUUUAAAAAAAAUAUGUUUGCUUUCUCUCAUAUUUGCAUUUUCACAUCUGAAAAAAUGAUGUUUGGAGAAAUUGCUUUUCCAGAGCUGGAAGGAGAGUCACUAUUUCAAGAGGUUGGUCUGCAAUAAGUUAAUGGCUUUGCAUCCAGUUGUGAAACUUCUGCUCACUGGAGCAGUCCCCAUACCCUCAUCCUCAGGCAAAUAAGCUCAUUAACUUCAAGACAUACUUCCUAUAUAAGCAAGGAUUUGUGCUGCUUUUCAAGUCAAUUUCCUCAUUGAGGUAAAUUAAGAGAUUUGCUCGAAAAACAUACAGCAGUGCAUUAAAGUGUUGAAAGAGCAUGUUAGUAGAGUAAAAAUUACCAAAAUAAAUGUCAUUAACACUUCAAGGUAAGUAUGUGGAAACAUGCUGGUAUUGAAGACAACUUGAAAUAGUUACUUAGCAUAAGCUGUGUGAUUACCGAAUAUAUUCUCAUGUAUGCACGUCAUUUAACUCUAAGAAAACAAAAGUCAAAACUGCAAGAAAAUUUGCAUGUUGAAGCAUUUUUAACAGCCAUUCUGAACGUGUCUUGACUUCCAUGUAGUUGGCCCCCUGCACAAGAAGGAAAAAAACAUGAAGAAUUGCUAUACGAUUACUCUGGAAUGGAAAAUAACAUUAAUUCCCAUUUCUUAUAAGGGAAAAUUAGUAAGUCGCAGAGUAUACUUAACGGUGACGAAUUGCAGUUCAUGGAUCAUUGUCCGAUAUCCUCCUUACAUCCAUCUUUCUUUUUAUCUGCAUCUCCAGCCAUUUGCACUCUGUAAUGUGUAUCUUGAUUUUAAUUCACUGUGCUGCGCAGUGGUUUUCAUUACACAGUCCCGUUGUCCUAGGUAAUACAUGAGGUCAUUCUAGUAUGAAACACUGUUGGAAUUAACACCCAGGAGUGUGACCCUGACUACCUGAAGGAGACAAUGCCCCUCUCACUUAUUUUAUUGCUCUCUAAACGUGGCAUCCCACCGGAGCUGUAUUCUGCCAACAAAAGGUGAGGGCUUUUGUUUCCUUCAGCGGCAACUUUCCCACAAGCAAUGUAAGCUAUAAAGAAUGAUCACAAAAGACAUCCUACCAGGAAUUAAUACAAACUUUUUUAUUAUUAUUAUUAUUUAGCACAGUGCUUUUUCAAACACACAUAAAUACAUAAGCAAAGCAAAACAUACUGACGACCUUAGAAAUAAUCUUCUACUACUCUACAGUUUCUUCCAUCUGCCGGAUGGAAGAGAAGAACGAGGCAGAGCUUUUUACUUCUGUUACUUGGUUGAUCCUCAUGUGAUAUGGCAACAGGAACUCCACAGCAGGUAAAUGAAUAGAUAAUAAGGUUACACAGCGUUCUGCUCAUCUUGGAAGGGCAUGAGGUGGCCCAUCAACAACUGAAGUAUGGGGGUUUGAAGGCACC